RNAcentral lists this unclassified non-coding RNA (2869 nucleotides) under Sitophilus oryzae (rice weevil). RNAcentral describes it as "rNA-binding protein 25-like, transcript variant X2". The record is from RNAcentral. Lineage: Eukaryota; Metazoa; Arthropoda; Insecta; Coleoptera; Curculionidae.
CGUCGUUAUUGUCAUAAUGAAAAUAUAGCUUGAAAAGCGUUGAAAAAUAAUUCUGUUAACUAUUCCAAAGGUUUUCAGUUUAUAUUUAAUUUAACGAAAUAUAUAUCAUAAUUACAUAAAUAUUUUCUUGCUAAAUUUUAUCGCAGCUAACAACAGUGUAUCCACGCUAUCCCCAGUUAAUAUAUUGUUAAGGACACAAAAUGGUGGUUUUAAAAAUUUGUCAUGUCUUUCGUAUUGUGUAUUUUGUUUAAAUUGUUUAUAUUCUACUAAAUUAUAUUAACUUAUAUUUAAUCAUUUAUGAACAAAAGGUGUCAACUGUAUAUAUUUUUUUAAUAUUUAAAAUUAGUACGAAAGAUUGCGUUGCUUUAAAAUUUGAUUAACAUAUUUUACAAAUGUCUUAUCCUGGACGUCCUCCGAUAAUGCAAGGCUUAUCAAUGUAUGCCAUGCCUAUUAGUGGCCCUCCGCCACCUCUUAUGCCCUCUGUAAUGCCAAUUCAACACCAAAUGGUGCCUAUACAAGUUUCUGGAGCAACACAAAUAAGAGGUUUCCCAAAACUAAAUCCUAAUAGAAAUGAACAGAAAAAAUUGGAGGGUCCAGCUGUUACAGUAUUUGUUGGAAACAUUACGGAAAAGGCUCCAGAUGCUAUGAUUAGGCAAAUAUUAGCCGCUUGUGGUCAAGUCAUAAGUUGGAAAAAAGUUAAAGCUUUCGGUUUCUGUGAACUUGCAGGACCUGAUGCGGGUCUACGAGCAGUCAGAUUAUUACAUGAUUUAAUGGUUGGUGACAAACGAUUAGUUGCAAAAGUAGAUGCAAAAACACAAGCCGUUUUAGAUGAAUAUAAAGCUGAGAGACGGAAAAGACAAAGGUCAUCUCCAUUGCAAGACGAACCUGAAGAAGAAGAGUUGGAUGAAGAAACUCAACAACUCGAUGUUUUGGUUAGGGAGAGGAUAAAACAAAUUUUGGCGGAUUAUCAGGAUGAGAUGAAUAGUUUCGAAUACAAAAAAGAAGGAGAGAUUAUGCAUACCUGGAAUAAAGUUCUUGCUGAUGCUGAAGUUGAAGAGGAAAAGCGUGAUUUAAUAACAAGAGAAAUUGGGAAAUUUAGGGAAAUUAUGAAAAAACAGGAAGAAGAAAAAGAAGUAAGAAAAAAGAAGGAAGAAAGGGAAAAGACUCGCGAGAAGGACCGCUCUAAUUCUCAUUCACCCAGUCCAAAGCGUAAAGAAAAAGAUGAUAAAAGACGCAAACGUUCCAGGUCAAGAACUCAUGAAAAAGCACGUGAGCAGGAUAGGGAACGGGAAAAAGAGAAAGAGAGGGAACGAGAGCGAGAACGUGAAAAAGAAAGGGAACGCGAACGCGAACGCGAACGGGAAAGGGAAAGGGAACGCGACAGAGAGCGUGACAGGGAUCGCGAUAGGGAAAGGGCCGAGAAACUAAGUACUAAAGAAUUGCUUCGAGAGAAAGAAGUCGAAGAAGAAAUGAAGGAGAAGAAAAAAUGUGAACGAAGAGCUAGAGAAAAGGAGGCUGCAUACCAAGAACGUCUAAGGGCCUGGGAAACAAGGGAAAGGCGCAAGUUUAAGGAAUACGAAAAAGAAAGAGAAAAGGAACGACUUAAAGAAGAGGAGCGCGAGCGGGAUGCGAAAAGGUUAAAGGAAUUUCUAGAGGAUUAUGAUGAUGAGCGUGAUGACGUUAAAUACUACAAGGGAAGAGAAUUACAGCGAAGAGUGGCAGAAAGAUUGAAAGAAGCUGAAUCAGACACAAAAGAUCGAUUAAAAGAAAAGGAAGAGAUGGAAGAACUGCGGAAAAGAAUAUUUUCUGAAGAACAUGAGGAUCCAAAUGAAGUAUUUGAAAAAGCAAAAAAGGAACGAGAGGAACAAUAUAAACCCAAAUUAUUAAUCGAUGUCAAUUUAGAACAUUGGAAACAAAAAGAGCGAGAAAAGGAAAGAGAAUUUGAAAGACAGAAAGCUAGAGAAAGAGAGCGACAUAGGGAAAUUGAACGAGAUAGAAGGCAUAAAGAAGAAAGGGAAAAAUAUAUUGUUGCACAGGCAGCUCAAGAACUUGCUGCUGUUGAGGCUGAACCUAUAGAUAGUGAUAGUGAUAUGGAUACCAACCAUUAUAGUCCAGUAGCUAUUGAACAGGAUGAGAUCAUGUCAAAUGAUGAGAAUAGUGAAUCAGCACAGUGGACUGAAGUCCAACCUCCUGAUGAGGAUUCCAAAGAGUCGUUUUCUUCAACGGCCGAGCAGCCUGUUCAAAAUUUAUCAGCUGGAACUGGGAUGAAAAUCACUUUAUCCAAGCCAAUAGCAUUUAAUAGCUCACAUUCUCCUACUCAACAGAAUAGACAUCAAGGUGACUCUAAGAGGAAGAAAAUAGAUCUACGAGAUGUCUUUAAUCCAGAUGAAGAUGAUACUUCUAUUCAGAUUAUAAUGAAGAUAAAAAAGAUAAGUCUCGGAAAGAGAAAGAAAAUAACGAGAAGAAAGCUGAAGAGUCGAAAUCUCAGGAAGAAAAACGGAAACACAUUAAGACUCUUAUUGAAAGGAUACCAACGGAAAAAGAGGCGUUGUUUACUUAUAAGUUAGAUUGGGCUCAAAUAGAUAAUCACCUAAUGGAAAAGAAGAUUCGACCAUGGAUAAACAAAAAGAUUAUUGAGUAUAUUGGUGAACCAGAGCCUACAUUAGUCGAUUUCAUUUGUAACAAAGUAUUAGCGGGUUCACUACCUCAAACGAUUCUAGAGGAUGUACAAAUGGUAUUGGAUGAGGAAGCAGAAGUAUUUGUUGUAAAAAUGUGGAGGUUAUUAAUUUAUGAAGUAGAAGCGAAAAAGUUAGGUUUAGUUAAAUAAUAUUCAUGUAAGAACUUGUAAAUAAUGAAAUGUUUUUUAGCA